This 253-nucleotide ribosomal RNA is filed under the name uncultured bacterium. RNAcentral's name for it is "partial 16S ribosomal RNA". It matches the Rfam family "Bacterial small subunit ribosomal RNA", at positions 524 to 776 of the family's 1533-position model. The record is from RNAcentral.
UACGUAGGGUGCAAGCGUUGUCCGGAAUUAUUGGGCGUAAAGAGCUCGUAGGCGGUUUGUCGCGUCGGAUGUGAAAAUCCAGGGCUCAACCCUGGACCUGCAUUCGAUACGGGCAGACUAGAGUUCGGUAGGGGAGACUGGAAUUCCUGGUGUAGCGGUGAAAUGCGCAGAUAUCAGGAGGAACACCGGUGGCGAAGGCGGCAUCCUGGACCAACACUGACACUGAGGAGCGAAAGCCAGGGGAGCAAACGGG